GAUUGAUAACUGGAGAGUAUCGUAAAACGCUUAUGGCAAUAUGAUAACGUAAUGUGAAAUUAUUAUACUCCACGGUUGGUGUAUGUGUUGAGUAAGGAAAAGGUGCGAUUUGGAUAACAGAAGAAAUAACAGAUGUCAACGUGUAUUUACAAAGAUAUACAGACAAAAUCGGGAAAAAGUUCAACAACCAGAUUAUAAAGGCUAUCGUAUAUAUAUGCUACGUGUGUAUUAAUAAGCGGCUUGAAUGCGGAGGACAAAUUUAAAAGAGGCAACGCCUCCGAAUACGUCCCUGACCCGCGUAAAAACCUUCCGAAUGUCUAGCUCGGGUGAGCGAGCCGUUCGUUUACUAUAAUUUUUUUCUGGUUAGCAAUGGGCCCUGUGAGCAUGCGCGUGUGUGCGCAUGCGUUCGUCGUACCAACACAAUUAUCGUGUGACAAAUAUGUGCAAUUGUACGUAAACACACAUACACACACUGAUGUACUCCGCACAGUUAAACAGUUUUAUUUUUAACCCAAAGGUCUCUAGAUUUUCGUUUCGUGUUAUUAAGCACGUGCUGAACACGUGCUGUUAAAGCGCGCUAUUCGAAAAAAGAAUGAAAAAAAGAGAAAAGAAAAGAAAAGAA
This is a long non-coding RNA of Apis florea (little honeybee), 622 nucleotides long. Lineage: Eukaryota; Metazoa; Arthropoda; Insecta; Hymenoptera; Apidae. The record is from RefSeq and is a predicted model, not a curated record.